Molecule: ribosomal RNA, 464 nt
Filed under: uncultured bacterium
Lineage: Bacteria
Description: bacterial SSU rRNA
Rfam family: Bacterial small subunit ribosomal RNA
Source: RNAcentral
CGAUAUCGACGUAGUUUGAUCAUGGCUACAGAACGAACGCUGGCGGCAGGCCUAACACAUGCAAGUCGAGCGAUCCUUUCGGGGAUAGCGGCGGACGGGUGAGUAACGCGUGGGAACGUACCCUUUGCUACGGAAUAGCCCCGGGAAACUGGGAGUAAUACCGUAUGUGCCCUCUGGGGGAAAGAUUUAUCGGCAAAGGAUCGGCCCGCGUUGGAUUAGGUAGUUGGUGGGGUAAUGGCCUACCAAGCCGACGAUCCAUAGCUGGUUUGAGAGGAUGAUCAGCCACACUGGGACUGAGACACGGCCCAGACUCCUACGGGAGGCAGCAGUGGGGAAUCUUAGACAAUGGGGGCAACCCUGAUCUAGCCAUGCCGCGUGAGUGAUGAAGGCCCUAGGGUUGUAAAGCUCUUUCAGCUGGGAAGAUAAUGACGGUACCAGCAGAAGAAGCCCCGGCUAACUCCGUG